This 251-nucleotide ribosomal RNA is filed under the name uncultured Staphylococcus sp. Its description in RNAcentral is "partial 16S ribosomal RNA". It matches the Rfam family "Bacterial small subunit ribosomal RNA", at positions 89 to 334 of the family's 1533-position model. Lineage: Bacteria; Bacillati; Bacillota; Bacilli; Caryophanales; Staphylococcaceae. The record is from RNAcentral.
AUGUUAGCGGCGGACGGGUGAGUAACACGUGGAUAACCUACCUAUAAGACUGGGAUAACUUCGGGAAACCGGAGCUAAUACCGGAUAAUAUUUUUAACCGCAUGGUUCAAAAGUAAAAGACGGUCUUGCUGUCACUUAUAGAUGGAUCCGCGCUGCAUUAGCUAGUUGGUAAGGUAACGGCUUACCAAGGCAACGAUGCGUAGCCGACCUGAGGGGGUGAUCGGCCACACUGGAACUGAGACACGGUCCAG